CCCAUUUCCCAUUUCUCGAAAUAAUCACCGUAUGCUUUUUUUGUGCAGCUCGAGGUCCGAUGGCAUCAGUUGGUGUGAGCGAGCGUGUGUUGCAACUCGCGAAUUUGUACUGGCGAAAAUUUAGAGCAAG
This is a non-coding RNA of Caenorhabditis elegans, 130 nucleotides long. The record is from Ensembl. NCBI's taxonomy places the organism in Eukaryota, Metazoa, Nematoda, Chromadorea, Rhabditida, Rhabditidae.